RNAcentral lists this ribosomal RNA (194 nucleotides) under uncultured bacterium. Its description in RNAcentral is "partial 16S ribosomal RNA". It matches the Rfam family "Bacterial small subunit ribosomal RNA", at positions 338 to 524 of the family's 1533-position model. The record is from RNAcentral.
CCUACGGGAGGCAGCAGUGGGGAAUAUUGGACAAUGGGCGAAAGCCUGAUCCAGCCAUGCCGCGUGUGUGAAUAAGGUCUUCGGAUUGUAAAGCACUUUAAGUUGGGAGGAAGGGCAUUAACCUAAUACGUUAGUGUUUUGACGUUACCGACAGAAUAAGCACCGGCUAACUCUGUGCCAGCAGCCGCGGUAAU